RNAcentral lists this ribosomal RNA (236 nucleotides) under uncultured Glomeromycotina. RNAcentral describes it as "partial 18S ribosomal RNA". The stretch from base 47 to 236 matches the Rfam family "Eukaryotic small subunit ribosomal RNA", at positions 693 to 884 of the family's 1831-position model. The record is from RNAcentral. Lineage: Eukaryota; Fungi; Glomeromycota.
GGGUUAAUAAGUUGGUCGUGCCAAUGGUAUGUACUGGCUUUAUUGAUUCCUACCUCUUGAAGAACUGUGAUGCCAUUAAUUUGGUGUUGCAGGAAAUCAGGACUGUUACCUUGAAAAAAUUAGAGUGUUUAAAGCAGGCUUACGCUUGAAUACAUUAGCAUGGAAUAAUGAAAUAGGACGUUUGAUUCUAUUUUGUUGGUUUCUAGGAUCGACGUAAUGAUUAAUAGGGAUAGUUG